UGUUGAGCGCCGGGGGCCCCCUGACCCCCCCUGUGACCCGGCUCCACGCUCAGAACAUGAUUGCUUUUGUUCUGUGGAGAAUAUUUAAAUGGGUCUUUAUAAAAGCCAGGAGUUGUGUGGGUCAUAACAGCGGUACAGAUGCUGCUGCUGCGUGUCUGCAGGGUUAACAAAGCUCCCCGCUGCAUGCUUAGAAUGAUCCAGACUGCACAUUCACUGCAAUUUAGCUUGAGUAAUAGAUGGGGGUCACGCUAGGUCACUUUCAAUUUCCACUUCCAGCGGAGAAAAAUGAAAACAACUCAUUUGCACAAAUCUGAAUAAUUCAGUCAGUCAAAAAACGAGAGAAAUGAAAAUAUGGGCAUGAAGAGAGGAUAAAGGAAGAGGAGGGAGACACUGUUGCAUCUCGUGCGGUAAUGACGGCCGGCCUCUUAGUCGUCUUGCAUAAAGGCUAAUGAUGAAUCUGACAGAGGAUAUGAAUCCAGAUAGCUGCUGAGAAUGAAAAUUGGAGACGCUGCUCUGGUUGGUGGAUAGAGGAGAGAUGAAGCUCGUCCCGGCGGAGGCGAUGAUCAGAAAGUGCACGCGGUGAUGGAUGACAUUCAACAUGGACUCGCCAAAAUAUGAACUUGGAAUAAAAUCAAAAGCGAUGUGAUUUUCUUUUGAAAGUUGUUGUGAUGUCAGACAGCAGAUAAACAGUCGCAGAAGAAGAAGAAACAACUAGAUGACGUCAUUAAAAGAGUUGAAGCUCAAUCGAUGGAGAACAUGAUGGAAAUAUGACGUUUCUGUUAGUUUCAUGUGUUGAUGU
Long non-coding RNA from Thunnus maccoyii (southern bluefin tuna), 799 nucleotides. RefSeq lists it as uncharacterized. Lineage: Eukaryota; Metazoa; Chordata; Actinopteri; Scombriformes; Scombridae. The record is from RefSeq and is a predicted model, not a curated record. The transcript is spliced from 3 exons.